This is a long non-coding RNA of Prunus persica (peach), 474 nucleotides long. RefSeq lists it as uncharacterized. The record is from RefSeq and is a predicted model, not a curated record. The transcript has 2 exons. NCBI's taxonomy places the organism in Eukaryota, Viridiplantae, Streptophyta, Magnoliopsida, Rosales, Rosaceae.
UCUCCUCUCUCUCCUCCCGCGCGAUUCUCCCCCGACCUCCGCCUCUUCUCAUCGACACCCCGGCCACCACAGGCCGGCUUGAUCUCCGCCGUGGGUACCUUCGGGACCGUGACAUCCUCGCCGUUCUUCCCCGACCCGCCGCCGACCUGGGGAAGCCCGUAACUGGCCGAAAUCUGCCAUUUUUGCCGAUUUUCCAGUUCGAAAUUUGAGCUCCUCGUUCUCCCUCAAUUCUCCACCAAAUCGAUCGAGUAAGGCCGUAGAAGUGCGCAGGAUCCACCACCGGGCCAUUCCUAGCUUUCGCGCCACCAAGUAAGGUAGAGUUUGUGGAAAAGUCCUUGAAACCCUGUAAACUUUAGAAAAUGCUCUGAUAUCUAGUUUAGUGGAAAACUGGAGCUGGUGAAUACUUGGUUAUUCUAUUCUGGCAGUUGGUGUGGAUUUAUUUAAUUGUUUAACAGGUGGAAGAUUUUGGGUUUA